This 469-nucleotide ribosomal RNA is filed under the name uncultured bacterium. RNAcentral describes it as "bacterial SSU rRNA". It matches the Rfam family "Bacterial small subunit ribosomal RNA", at positions 331 to 792 of the family's 1533-position model. The record is from RNAcentral.
CCAGACUCCUACGGGAGGCAGCAGUGGGGAAUUUUGCGCAAUGCUCGUAAGAGUGACGCAGCGACGCCGCGUGAAUGACGAAGGCCUUCGGGUCGUAAAGUUCUUUCGACAGGGAAGAAAAUGCCUAUAAGUAACUGUGUAUGUAUUGACGGUACCUGUAUAAGCAGCCCCGGCUAACUCCGUGCCAGCAGCCGCGGUAAUACGGAGGGGGCGAGCGUUGUUCGGAGUGACUGGGCGUAAAGAGCACGUAGGCGGUGUUGUAAGUCAUUAGUCAAAGACUAGAGCUCAACUUUAGUAAGGCUAGUGAUACUAUAAUACUAGAGUAUCAGAGAGGAUUGCAGAAUUCCUGGUGUAGCGGUGAAAUGCGUAGAUAUCAGGAGGAAUACCGUUAGCGAAGGCGGCAAUCUGGCUGGAAACUGACGCUGAGGUGCGAAAGCGUGGGUAGCAAACAGGAUUAGAUACCCCAGUA